Capsicum annuum is the source of this 1275-nucleotide long non-coding RNA. RefSeq lists it as uncharacterized. The transcript is spliced from 3 exons. NCBI's taxonomy places the organism in Eukaryota, Viridiplantae, Streptophyta, Magnoliopsida, Solanales, Solanaceae. The record is from RefSeq and is a predicted model, not a curated record.
UGCUGGGUAGAUCUUUAAGACCCAUAAGUAGGCACCAUUGUUUAAAGUUUUCUUUUGUCCAGGGGAUGGACACUGUUUGAGCUGAUUGAGUCUCUUCGUAUUCUUCGUCGACCAAAUCAGCCCAUUUCUUGGUGUUGAAAAUUAAAAUUGGAUUUGUAAUUUAUUGCAUUAUGAAAGAUUAUGGUAAUCCUGGCAUAGCAUAAUCAGCUGAGCUUUUUUGGAGGUCUCUUCGGGAGAUGGAAGAGCUGGAAUUUGUGGAGGUGGAGGUUCUUCGUUAUUUUUUCUGGGCAUCUUAUCUUCCCUGCUAGAAUUUUCUGAGGGAUCGAGGAGAGAUAUGCAAGGGAGGUCUUCUGCCUUUAAUUUGAUUUCUUUAACUACAUUGGUAUGAAUUUGAGUCCAUGAAGGAGGAGGCUUUUUCAACCUACCGUGGAGAGGUUUCAACAGAUUUUUGAGCCCGGAAUAAAAUCUUCUAUAUAAUUAACACAUCCUAAAAAUCGUUGAAGUUGAGUUUUAUUAAGAAUUUGAUCGAGAAAUUGACAGAAAUUGAAGUUAAGUCAAGUUUCACCAUUCAUAUUAAAGAUUUGAUAGUACCAUAUAAUAGCAAGUUAAAAACAAGAAUAAUAAUCUUUACUUCCCUCUAUGAGGAGUCGCCAUUGUUUAAAAUUUUCUUCUGUUCAGGGAACAAACACUAUUUGAGCUAAUUGAGUCUCUUCGUCUCCUUCGUUGAGUAAAUCAGCUUAUUUGUUGGUGUUAAACAUUGAAAUUAGACUUGUACUUGAUUGCAUUAUGAAAGAUUGUGGUAAUCCCGGCAUGACAUAAUCAACUGGGGGUUGAUAUCUUGGCUGAUUUAUGUCAGCUACUACAUUUGGUAGUUGCUUUGGCGCAACUGAAGUUUUUUGCUGUGGCAUAACAACAUUUUUGGUGGUCUCUUCUGGAGAUGGAAGGGUCAAAAUUUGUGGAGGUGGAGGUUCUUCUUUCUUUUUUCAGAGCAUCUUAUCUUCCCUGCAAGAAUUCCCUGGUAAGAAAAUCUGGUAAGGAUGUAAUCGUACUUACGCUUACAUCUUUCGUUAGUCCUGGAGUUAAGAAGCUUGAUAUCCUCAUGAUCUGAUUCAAGAGGGAUAGUUUGUUCGACAGUGGAAAUAUGGUAGUUACUUGUUAGAGACCGCCAUCUGAACGGAGCUUUGUAAGUUUGGUCUUGAGAAUGCCAGGGUAUUUGCCAAUCAUAAUUGAUUGCUACAAAUUAGAGAAACUAAUCUCUUCCUUGAGUUUUGAACU